AGCAGCCGCGGUAAUUCCAGCUCCAAUAGCGUAUAUUAAAGUUGUUGCAGUUAAAAAGCUCGUAGUUGAAUUUCGGGGUUAGUAGGUUGGUCAUGCCUCUGGUAUGUACUGGUCUCACUGAUUCCUCCUUCCUGAUGAACCUUAAUGCCAUUAAUUUGGUGUUUUGGGGAAUUUGGACUGUUACUUUGAAAAAAUUAGAGUGUUUAAAGCAAGCUAACGCUUGAAUACAUUAGCAUGGAAUAAUGAAAUAGGACGUUCGAUCCUAUUUUGUUGGUUUCUAGGAUUGACGUAAUGAUUAAUAGGGAUAGUUGGGGGCAUUAGUAUUCAAUUGUCAGAGGUGAAAUUCUUGGAUUUAUUGAAGACUAACUACUGCGAAAGCAUUUGCCAAGGAUGUUUUCAUUAAUCAAGAACGAAAGUUAGGGGAUCGAAGACGAUCAGAUACCGUCGUAGUCUUAACCAUAAACUAUGCCGACUAGGGAUCGGAUGAUGUUAAUUUUUAAUUGACUCAUUCGGCGCCUUA
RNAcentral lists this ribosomal RNA (520 nucleotides) under uncultured Glomus. RNAcentral's name for it is "SSU rRNA". It matches the Rfam family "Eukaryotic small subunit ribosomal RNA", at positions 569 to 1090 of the family's 1831-position model. The record is from RNAcentral. Lineage: Eukaryota; Fungi; Glomeromycota; Glomeromycetes; Glomerales; Glomeraceae.